AGGUAAGCUACUAAGAGCGAAUGGUGGAUGCCUUGACUGGUAAAGGCGAUGAAGGACGUACUAGACUGCGAUAAGCUACGGGGAGCUGUCAAGAAGCUUUGAUCCGUAGAUUUCCGAAUGGGGCAACCCAAUGUAUAGAGAUAUACAUUACCUAUAUAGGAGCGAACGAGGGGAAUUGAAACAUCUUAGUACCCUCAGGAAAAGAAAUCAAUAGAGAUUGCGUCAGUAGCGGCGAGCGAAAGCGCAAGAGGGCAAACCCAGUGCUUGCACUGGGGGUUGUAGGACUGCAAUGUGCAAGAGGUAAGUUUAGCAGAACAUUCUGGAAAGUAUAACCAUAGAGGGUGAUAGUCCCGUAUGCGAAAAACAAACCUUAGCUAGCAGUAUCCUGAGUAGGGCGGGACACGAGGAAUCCUGUCUGAAUCUGGGUCGACCACGAUCCAACCCUAAAUACUAAUACCAGAUCGAUAGUGCACAAGUACCGUGAGGGAAAGGUGAAAAGAACUGAGGUGAUCAGAGUGAAAUAGAACCUGAAACCAUUUGCUUACAAUCAUUCAGAGCCCUAUGUAGCAAUACAGGGUGAUGGACUGCCUUUUGCAUAAUGAGCCUGCGAGUUGUGGUGUCUGGCAAGGUUAAGCAAACGCGAAGCCGUAGCGAAAGCGAGUCUGAAUAGGGCGCUUAGUCAGAUGCUGCAGACCCGAAACGAAGUGAUCUAUCCAUGAGCAAGUUGAAGCUAGUGUAAGAACUAGUGGAGGACUGAACCCAUAGGCGUUGAAAAGCCCCGGGAUGACUUGUGGAUAGGGGUGAAAGGCCAAUCAAACUUCGUGAUAGCUGGUUCUCUCCGAAAUAUAUUUAGGUAUAGCGUUGUGUCGUAAUAUAAGGGGGUAGAGCACUGAAUGGGCUAGGGCAUACACCAAUGUACCAAACCCUAUCAAACUCCGAAUACCUUAUAUGUAAUCACAGCAGUCAGGCGGCGAGUGAUAAAAUCCGUCGUCAAGAGGGAAACAACCCAGACUACCAGCUAAGGUCCCUAAAUCUUACUUAAGUGGAAAACGAUGUGAAGUUACUUAAACAACCAGGAGGUUGGCUUAGAAGCAGCCAUCCUUUAAAGAAAGCGUAAUAGCUCACUGGUCUAGUGAUUUUGCGCGGAAAAUAUAACGGGGCUAAAGU
RNAcentral lists this ribosomal RNA (1167 nucleotides) under Campylobacter coli. Its description in RNAcentral is "partial 23S ribosomal RNA". It matches the Rfam family "Bacterial large subunit ribosomal RNA", at positions 1 to 1188 of the family's 2925-position model. The record is from RNAcentral. Lineage: Bacteria; Pseudomonadati; Campylobacterota; Epsilonproteobacteria; Campylobacterales; Campylobacteraceae. RNAcentral also lists the same sequence under 1 other name.